UGAGCAAUCUGCCCUUCUCUUCGGAAUAAGCGUUGGAAACGACGUCUAAUGCCGAAUACGACCUCCUUUCGCAUGAUCGGAGGUGGAAAGCUCCGGCGGAGAAGGAUGAGCUCGCGGCCUAUCAGCUAGUUGGUGUGGGUAACGGCCCACCAAGGCGACGACGGGUAGCCGGCCUGAGAGGGUGACCGGCCACAUUGGGACUGAGACACGGCCCAGACUCCUACGGGAGCAGCAGG
This 236-nucleotide ribosomal RNA is filed under the name uncultured bacterium. RNAcentral describes it as "partial 16S ribosomal RNA". It matches the Rfam family "Bacterial small subunit ribosomal RNA", at positions 118 to 354 of the family's 1533-position model. The record is from RNAcentral.